UAAAUAUGAAAACAAUUAAAUAUUGUGUCGUCUCCUCCUUUUUUUGUUUUUGUUUUUUUCUUUUGUGGCCACCUUUUGCACUAGACCAUCCCCAUUAUUGGUGGUAUUGGCCUAUGAGUUCCACAUGACAAAUUCAAGUCUUAUUUAUUUAAUGUAGAAGGAAGUAAAGUAUUAAUUUCUUAUCUGCCAUGCAGAAUUAGACAAAUAGAGUUUGCUUAUGAAAGGAAAGAGGCAUACUUUUUAAUUGGUCUACACAGAAAAGUAAAAGUAAAUUAUUCAUUUAAAUAAGAUUCAUUAUCUAAUGAACAUUGAAGGAAAUAUUUUUCCUAAAUAAAAAAUAUUGUGACUCCUAAUAAAA
Molecule: long non-coding RNA, 358 nt
Filed under: Bos taurus (domestic cattle)
Lineage: Eukaryota; Metazoa; Chordata; Mammalia; Artiodactyla; Bovidae
Description: long non-coding RNA NONBTAT007593
Source: RNAcentral